UGCAUUACGGAACUGAGCGGGUGACCGGCCACACUGGGACUGAGACACGGCCCAGACUCCUACGGGAGGCAGCAGUAGGGAAUUUUCGGCAAUGGGGGAAACCCUGACCGAGCAACGCCGCGUGAAGGAAGAAGUAAUUCGUUAUGUAAACUUCUGUCAUAGAGGAAGAACGGUGCGUGUAGGGAAUGACAUGCAAGUGACGGUACUCUAUAAGAAAGCCACGGCUAACUACGUGCCAGCAGCCGCGGUAAUACGUAGGUGGCGAGCGUUAUCCGGAAUUAUUGGGCGUAAAGAGGGAGCAGGCGGCACUAAGGGUCUGUGGUGAAAGAUCGAAGCUUAACUUCGGUAAGCCAUGGAAACCGUAGAGCUAGAGUGUGUGAGAGGAUCGUGGAAUUCCAUGUGUAGCGGUGAAAUGCGUAGAUAUAUGGAGGAACACCAGUGGCGAAGGCGACGAUCUGGCGCAUAACUGACGCUCAGUCCCGAAAGCGUGGGGAGCAAAUAGGAUUAGAUACCCUAGUAGUCCACGCCGUAAACGAUGAGUACUAAGUGUUGGGAGUCAAAUCUCAGUGCUG
RNAcentral lists this ribosomal RNA (572 nucleotides) under uncultured bacterium. Its description in RNAcentral is "bacterial SSU rRNA". It matches the Rfam family "Bacterial small subunit ribosomal RNA", at positions 280 to 848 of the family's 1533-position model. The record is from RNAcentral.